Molecule: long non-coding RNA, 227 nt
Filed under: Elaeis guineensis (African oil palm)
Lineage: Eukaryota; Viridiplantae; Streptophyta; Magnoliopsida; Arecales; Arecaceae
Description: long non-coding RNA (EGUI_LNC043145)
Source: RNAcentral
GAAUAGUUCUUAAAACAUAUUCACGGUCAAAUGAUACAUUAUUACAGGAUAAUGAUGUUUAUCGAAUGAAGGUCAUUGUGUGCCAUAUGGGUUGGUUGUCCUUUUAACCAAAGAGUGUGGUAACACUGGUAUGGCAUAUAGGUGAGAUAUAGGAGUACAUCAUCAUUGAACAAGUGACUCACCAACUGACUGUUUGUUAGGAUUUGAUGCCUCAAGAUUCAGCCCAC